UCCAUAUUUGCGUCCUUCCUGAGGGCUGUUCCGUGUCGAUACUUCUCCUCAGCAUGAGAGCCAAGUGGCGAAAGAAGCGUAUGCGCAGGCUGAAGCGCAAAAGAAGAAAGAUGAGGCAGAGGUCUAAAUAAAACUGCCCCCUUGGCUGUGAUUUCGCCAAGUUCUGGACUGCUGAGGCCUAUUCACUGUUGGUGUUCCUCGGCGUCAAGUCUGAGGCCAGUACCAUCCAUAUCAACCAGAGGCAACGGAGUGACGUCCGAGCUGCUGAUCGAUAUAGGAGAACUUAUUCAGGACCGCUUGGGGUCUUGGAUUAAGGGGUCUAUCCCUACGGGACAGGCUGGGCUCUGCUCUUAACAAAACUUAAAUCCAAUUGAUUUUUGUUUUUAUACUUUUAAGUGAUUAAAGGUUUUACUUUGAAAAAAAUUAA
Molecule: long non-coding RNA, 427 nt
Organism: Lampris incognitus (smalleye Pacific opah)
Lineage: Eukaryota; Metazoa; Chordata; Actinopteri; Lampriformes; Lampridae
Exons: 4
Source: RefSeq, a predicted model, not a curated record